This 453-nucleotide ribosomal RNA is filed under the name uncultured bacterium. RNAcentral describes it as "bacterial SSU rRNA". It matches the Rfam family "Bacterial small subunit ribosomal RNA", at positions 354 to 796 of the family's 1533-position model. The record is from RNAcentral.
GUGGGGAAUAUUGCGCAAUGGACGAAAGUCUGACGCAGCGACGCCGUGUGUGGGAGGAAGCUCUUCGGGGUGUAAACCACUGUCAGGAGGGAAGAAAGGCGCUGACUCGAAUAGGGUCUAGCGAUUGACGGUACCUCCAAAGGAAGCGCCGGCUAACUCCGUGCCAGCAGCCGCGGUAAGACGGAGGGCGCAAGCGUUGUUCGGAAUUACUGGGCGUAAAGCGCGGGCAGGUGGUCUGUUAAGUCGUUUGUGAAAAUCCGGGGCUCAACCCCGCGAAAUGCAUACGAUACUGGCAGACUGGAGACUGGUAGAGGCUAGCGGAAUUCCUGGUGUAGCGGUGGAAUGCGUAGAUAUCAGGAAGAACACCUGUGGCGAAGGCGGCUAGCUGGGCCAGAUCUGACACUCAUCCGCGAAAGCGUGGGGAGCAAACAGGAUUAGAUACCCGGGUAGUCC